CGGGUGAGUAAUGUAUGGGGAUCUGCCUGAUGGCGGGGGAUAACUACUGGAAACGGUAGCUAAUACCGCAUAACGUCGCAAGACCAAAGAGGGGACCUUAGGGCCUCUUGCCAUCGGAUGUGCCCAGAUGGGAUUAGCUAGUAGGUGGGGUAACGGCUCACCUAGGCGACGAUCCCUAGCUGGUCUGAGAGGAUGACCAGCCACACUGGAACUGAGACACGGUCCAG
This 227-nucleotide ribosomal RNA is filed under the name uncultured bacterium. Its description in RNAcentral is "partial 16S ribosomal RNA". It matches the Rfam family "Bacterial small subunit ribosomal RNA", at positions 103 to 334 of the family's 1533-position model. The record is from RNAcentral.